UGCUUAUGUGUGAGAUGUGAAGGGGAAAUCCCAGGAUUUGGUGGAGAAGAAGCACAGUUCAAUUUGACGCCCGCCAGGUGUUCGACGAAAUGUUCAAAUUGGGUUUCGUCAUUGAUAUUGCGGAUUUGAGUAGCGUUUUGUAUUGGUGAGCUGGUUCGCUAUUUCUCUUCUUGGUUGAAUGGAUAGAUUAGUUGGAUGUUUUAAUUAUGUCGGUCCUCUUGACAGUAGCAUGUGUGUGUCAUGGCCAUAGGUAUAAUACUUAUUGAAAUGCACGAGUCACUCGCAGUGAUUUGGUCGAUGUCGUGUCUAUGUGUAUGGAUUGGUGUUAGUGGAGAAGAAAGUUAGGUGAGGAAAUCAUGGUGAAUACAAUCGUGUCUACAUGGUGGUUGUGUUUAUACCUAUAAUGAAUGUCUGUUUAUUUGUAUGAAGUCCAUAGAUCGCAAUUUCCAAGUAGAGCAUUGUACUACUAAAUCUUGGAGUUUCUCGCAGUAAAACUUAAUUCAGUUUGGGUAUGGAUAGUUAGAUAACCAGUUUAAGUCUAUUCAUCACCUUUUCUUUAGUAAAGUAAAUACUAGAUAAUUAAGAAAGAUUGGAUAAUAGAGUUGAUUGUUUGUAGUGUGGAGUGAAGUCCAUGGAACGUCGACCCUCAUUAAUCCACGGCAUGCCUAUGAUGUUUAAUUAUGCGUCAAGCAAGUUAAUCUAGUAAGAUGAUUUAGAGAACGAGUCAAAUAAUGUGUAGAAGCUACAUAUAAACUAAAACAGACUAGUUGCUGUUUUGGGCGCAUGUACUGUUUUUGCCGCGCCAUUUGUUUGAGGAACUAAAUUACGUUUUCUGUAGAAAUCUUAUAUAGGAAAGUUGUAGGCCAUUUCUUAUUCUUUCUUGUGUAAAAAUUUCAUGGUCAUAGGUCUAGUAGUUUAGAAGUUAUGAAUUUUCCAAGUCCAGUUUCAGAAUCUGUCCAAAUUCUAUACAGUUUUCGAAAAUUGGACUGUUUGGCUAAGCUAAACUGAGAAUCAGCCCUUAGUAAUUAUAGAAGAAUUAUAGUAAUUUUCUUAAGCUUUCCAACAAAUUUUGGAUCACCCUUUUUGGUGAUCUAUAAAUUAAGUUACAGCUGUUUGAGUUAGGAUCUCUGAAUCUGUCCCAAUUUGGACAGCGGAGCCUUUCUCAUGUUUUCUGACCUUGAUAUAUAUUGAAUUAACCUGGGACAUUUAUAAAUGAAUUGUAGAGAAUUAUAUUAGCUUCCUAAAAAGUCUAGGAUCACCUGAUUUGGAUGUCUGAAAUGAUUUGGAUGUCUGAAACUCCAGUUAUGAAUUUUUGAAGUAAGUAGUCGAAUUCUGUCCAAAUCUGGACAGAGUUUAUGAUUAGUUCUGUUUGACCUUUUUAAAGGUCGAAUCUUGUUGUGAUGAUAAUACCAAAGGUGUAGAGGACUUUAUAAGCUUUCCAUAAAGUCCUAGUUUACUAUUUUUAGAUGCAUAUUUUGUGAGUUAUGAAUAAAACAAUUAACCGCUAUGCUGCUGUCCAAAAUCAGCAGGCAUUAAAAUGAUUUGCUUGGAAUUUCUUUUGUGUAGGUAACUAGUAUGGUAGUUGCAUAUGGUUGUUCUUUUCUUUCUUAAUGCUUGCCUUAGACUUUAGCAUUUUAAGAAGGAAGUAAAUACUUUGGUUAGUGUAUUUGAGAUAGCGACUAUUUAGACCUUAUGUCAGUAACUCAUUAUAGAAUAAUUACGGCAAAAACUCUAGAAGUUUGUCACAGAAAAAAUACUUUCAUCUUCUGAAUGUUCCUAACAAGUACAAUUUCAUGAUCCACAUGUUACAAAUAUUCAGAAAAAUAUUUUUGCUCUGUGCUUGAUGUAAUUCCACACUGUAUUUUCCUUUUAUCUACUCAUGAUUAAUUGAAGUAUUAUUUCUUUUAAAAGAAUGUUUUGUGCUAAUUUAUUUUCAGAGCGUGUCUACUUCUUGAUUGGGUUGUUUCCUUUACUGAGGGUCUAGAGAACUUGGUUGCAUAUGCUAGAAUGCUAGAUGGUAUCCGUGCUCACUAAUAGUCCAAGGUUUUCUUAGGUAAAUUAGCUAUUGUUUUCCUUUAAAAACUUUGUCCUAAAAUGAUUCAAGACUGGUAUUUGGUUGGUUUAAUUUAUACCUUGUACAUUCUCUGUGAGGGGUACAACUAAGAACCUCCAGAAGAAUAGCGAACAAGUAAUUGGUCAUGCAUUAUGUUGUUAGUCAUUGUAUGCUCAGUUAACUACUCAUUUUCCACCUAUAGAAGAAAGUUCUUUAAUAGGAAGCUAACCCUCUUACUUUGUUGCGAGGCUUUGUCAAUAUUUGACAAGUUCAGUAAGUUAGGUGUUUUUAUUUUGGAGUCUGUAGGUACGUAAUGCUUAUGUACUGUUUUAGUUGACUAGUGAUAAAAGUUUUAACUGAUAUUAACAUUGACAAUACAUGGGCAAUAGAUGAGGCUAUCAUCAGUUCGAAUUCUUUCUGUCUUAGGACAUCCAACAUGAUAUACUGGGAAGAAAAAGAUUUUUACACCCUUGUGAAUUCCGCCACUUUUUACAUUCUCUGCAAAUUCUGCUAGAAGCAUUACUUUUGCACUCUCCGUCUUGUUUGCAGUUUGGUGUUUUCUUCUUUGGUAUGUAUACAAGACAGCCUCAAAUCAUCUCCUAACAAAAAAGGGGGUUAAUAUCAGGUGCAUCUUAGCAGAUAUGAAAUAUAGUACUAUAUAAGAGAGCCACAUGUUACAAGACAAUUGGGUUAUAGCUACAAGUUAGUUAUAUGUUCUGCCAGCUUCGUUAUAUGUUCUGACAUGAGUUACUUUUGUGUUAUGCAGAAAAACAAGAAUCGUGAGUGCAAUGGCAAAUGGAAGGUGAAGGCCCUUUUGAUUGACAACUUAGGAAAAGAUGGAAUGGAACUCAAAUUUUGGUGGUCGGUCAAGUGUGUAGAGUUGAAAUCAUAUAUACUUAGUUAGGCUCAAAUUUAGCGCAAACUGUUGGUGACCAUGUUUUUCGGUUAGUAUUUUAGUUUUUAAAUUGGAUUUAAAGUACACUUAUGUAUGAGUUAUUUAGCAAUGCUUAUUUAUGAGAUAUUGAAUGAUACUUAUCUACAUUAUAUUAACUAUAGUGUUAUUAAA
Molecule: long non-coding RNA, 3119 nt
Organism: Zea mays
Lineage: Eukaryota; Viridiplantae; Streptophyta; Magnoliopsida; Poales; Poaceae
Exons: 2
Source: RefSeq, a predicted model, not a curated record